Molecule: transfer RNA, 72 nt
Filed under: Mitosporidium daphniae
Lineage: Eukaryota; Fungi; Microsporidia
Rfam family: tRNA
About the family: Transfer RNA (tRNA) molecules are approximately 80 nucleotides in length.
Source: Rfam by way of RNAcentral
ACGGCCUUGGCGCAAUGGAAGCGCAUUGGAAUCCGGAUCCAAAGGCUGCGGGUUCAAGUCCCGUGGGUCGUG